RNAcentral lists this ribosomal RNA (244 nucleotides) under uncultured Staphylococcus sp. RNAcentral's name for it is "partial 16S ribosomal RNA". It matches the Rfam family "Bacterial small subunit ribosomal RNA", at positions 96 to 334 of the family's 1533-position model. The record is from RNAcentral. Lineage: Bacteria; Bacillati; Bacillota; Bacilli; Caryophanales; Staphylococcaceae.
CGGCGGACGGGUGAGUAACACGUGGAUAACCUACCUAUAUGACUGGGAUAACUUCGGGAAACCGGGGCUAAUACCGGAUAACACAUGAAACCGCAUGGUUUCAUGAUGAAAGACGGUUUUGCUGUCACUUAUAGAUGGACCCGCGGCGUAUUAGCUAGUUGGUAAGGUAACGGCUUACCAAGGCAACGAUACGUAGCCGACCUGAGAGGGUGAUCGGCCACACUGGAACUGAGACACGGUCCAG